This 253-nucleotide ribosomal RNA is filed under the name uncultured bacterium. RNAcentral describes it as "partial 16S ribosomal RNA". It matches the Rfam family "Bacterial small subunit ribosomal RNA", at positions 524 to 776 of the family's 1533-position model. The record is from RNAcentral.
UACGUAGGGGGCAAGCGUUGUCCGGAAUCAUUGGGCGUAAGGAGCGUGUAGGCGGCUUGGCAAGUCUGGUGUGAAAUCUUGCGGCUCAACCGCAAGCGGUCACUGGAAACUGCCUCGCUAGAGUCCGGAAGAGGAGAGCGGAAUUCCUGGUGUAGCGGUGGAAUGCGCAGAUAUCAGGAAGAACACCCGUGGCGAAGGCGGCUCUCUGGGACGGUACUGACGCUGAGACGCGAAAGCGUGGGGAGCGAACAGG